AUCGAAGAGGCGCAGCCAACACCAGUAGACUGACGGAGUCCCUGCCGGACGAUGAAGUGAGUUGAACAGGGCGGCUGCCGAAGCACUUGGCCGGGCAGCGGCCAGGUUAGCUGGGGCGCGGCUGAAUAAGUCACGGACUGUCGCGGGACGAA
Molecule: non-coding RNA, 152 nt
Filed under: uncultured Limosilactobacillus sp.
Lineage: Bacteria; Bacillati; Bacillota; Bacilli; Lactobacillales; Lactobacillaceae
Description: Lysine riboswitch
Rfam family: Lysine riboswitch aptamer
About the family: Riboswitches are metabolite binding domains within certain messenger RNAs that serve as precision sensors for their corresponding targets. Allosteric rearrangement of mRNA structure is mediated by ligand binding, and this results in modulation of gene expression.
Source: RNAcentral